Molecule: long non-coding RNA, 233 nt
Organism: Zingiber officinale
Lineage: Eukaryota; Viridiplantae; Streptophyta; Magnoliopsida; Zingiberales; Zingiberaceae
Exons: 3
Source: RefSeq, a predicted model, not a curated record
AAAUGUAGUUCUAUUUCUUAGCAUUCUUGAAUAACUGUUUAUUACAGAACGGAUUUCUGACUGGACCAAUGUAGUUCUGGCCUAUGAGCCAGUUUGGGCAAUUGGAACAGGGAAGGUUGCUACUCCAGCUCAGGCUCAAGAGGUGCACUCUGAAUUAAGAAAAUGGCUUCAGAUAAAUGUGAGUGUUGAGAUUGCAGAAUCAACCAGGAUCAUUUAUGGAGGUUCUGUAAAUG